UGAAGGUGGCACGGUCGCGUACCGUCUU
RNAcentral lists this small RNA (28 nucleotides) under Bombyx mori (domestic silkworm). Its description in RNAcentral is "ovarian small RNA-30976". The record is from RNAcentral. Lineage: Eukaryota; Metazoa; Arthropoda; Insecta; Lepidoptera; Bombycidae.